GGUUAAGCGACUAAGCGUACACGGUGGAUGCCCUGGCAGUCAGAGGCGAUGAAGGACGUGCUAAUCUGCGAUAAGCGUCGGUAAGGUGAUAUGAACCGUUAUAACCGGCGAUUUCCGAAUGGGGAAACCCAGUGUGUUUCGACACACUAUCAUUAACUGAAUCCAUAGGUUAAUGAGGCGAACCGGGGGAACUGAAACAUCUAAGUACCCCGAGGAAAAGAAAUCAACCGAGAUUCCCCCAGUAGCGGCGAGCGAACGGGGAGCAGCCCAGAGCCUGAAUCAGUGUGUGUGUUAGUGGAAGCGUCUGGAAAGGCGCGCGAUACAGGGUGACAGCCCCGUACACAAAAAUGCACAUGCUGUGAGCUCGAUGAGUAGGGCGGGACACGUGGUAUCCUGUCUGAAUAUGGGGGGACCAUCCUCCAAGGCUAAAUACUCCUGACUGACCGAUAGUGAACCAGUACCGUGAGGGAAAGGCGAAAAGAACCCCGGCGAGGGGAGUGAAAAAGAACCUGAAACCGUGUACGUACAAGCAGUGGGAGCACGCUUAGGCGUGUGACUGCGUACCUUUUGUAUAAUGGGUCAGCGACUUAUAUUCUGUAGCAAGGUUAACCGAAUAGGGGAGCCGAAGGGAAACCGAGUCUUAACUGGGCGUUAAGUUGCAGGGUAUAGACCCGAAACCCGGUGAUCUAGCCAUGGGCAGGUUGAAGGUUGGGUAACACUAACUGGAGGACCGAACCGACUAAUGUUGAAAAAUUAGCGGAUGACUUGUGGCUGGGGGUGAAAGGCCAAUCAAACCGGGAGAUAGCUGGUUCUCCCCGAAAGCUAUUUAGGUAGCGCCUCGUGAAUUCAUCUCCGGGGGUAGAGCACUGUUUCGGCAAGGGGGUCAUCCCGACUUACCAACCCGAUGCAAACUGCGAAUACCGGAGAAUGUUAUCACGGGAGACACACGGCGGGUGCUAACGUCCGUCGUGAAGAGGGAAACAACCCAGACCGCCAGCUAAGGUCCCAAAGUCAUGGUUAAGUGGGAAACGAUGUGGGAAGGCCCAGACAGCCAGGAUGUUGGCUUAGAAGCAGCCAUCAUUUAAAGAAAGCGUAAUAGCUCACUGGUCGAGUCGGCCUGCGCGGAAGAUGUAACGGGGCUAAACCAUGCACCGAAGCUGCGGCAGCGACACUAUGUGUUGUUGGGUAGGGGAGCGUUCUGUAAGCCUGUGAAGGUGUGCUGUGAGG
This 1227-nucleotide ribosomal RNA is filed under the name Escherichia coli. RNAcentral describes it as "partial 23S ribosomal RNA". It matches the Rfam family "Bacterial large subunit ribosomal RNA", at positions 1 to 1268 of the family's 2925-position model. The record is from RNAcentral. Lineage: Bacteria; Pseudomonadati; Pseudomonadota; Gammaproteobacteria; Enterobacterales; Enterobacteriaceae.